Non-coding RNA from Pocillopora verrucosa, 1076 nucleotides. Lineage: Eukaryota; Metazoa; Cnidaria; Anthozoa; Scleractinia; Pocilloporidae. The record is from RefSeq and is a predicted model, not a curated record.
AAAAUUUUCCCAAUUGCCCUCAUCGCUUUGCGACUCGGGCAAUUUUGGAAAAUUUUGAAAACUCUCGUGCAAUUAAUCCAUAAUAGUACUUGGCCUCAUGUGAUUACAUAUACUAACUUUACCUCUGGUACCGGUGUUGAGCAGGCAUCGUAAAAAGCCCACAAUUACAGAAAUCAAAACAUUGACAGAAUUAAAUCAAAGAAUUUAUAAAGCAAAAUUUGUCACUGCAAGGUGCCAAGGUGAUCAUCACAGUUGUGUUCUCUGCAAUCAGAUAUAGUGAUGUAGCAAAGCAACAGUUGGUUUCUGCUGCAAAGAAAUUCAGACUUUCCUGCAAUUUUGCUUCCAAAGACAGCAUGGCAAUGGCACUGGCCAAGACCUUUCUGAAGGAGAACUUUGUUAAGGUAGACAGUGCAAACCUUCAAGAUAUCGACGGAGACAAUGUUUAAAAGCUCAAGGGUUACUGACUUCUUUCUUCAAAAGCUCAAGGGUUACUGACUUCUUUCCUGAUCAUGUUUUGCAAAUCAUUUAUUAUAUACCUUUAUACUUGUUGAGCAAAUGUUACUGCUUGAGCUACUUGAUCAGUACAGUAUGGUUUUUAAUCUUUGUAUUUUAUGUAGCAAUUAUUAGUUGAAAUUUUACAUUACUGGUAUGUAGAGUUUGAUUUUUGGAAAAGUUUUAUGAAUUUUUUGCAUUGUGUUUUUCAUGCUAAAAGUUCAAUUUUCAUCCUGCCUCAUUCUUUUGUGUUGAAAGGAAAAAGUAAAUUAUUCUUAUAAACAUUUACUUUGAUUAGCCCCAAUAAUUAUAGUGUAGUAUGAAUAUGUAUGUUGUGGUACACUGAACCUAAGGUCAUUUAAAUUACUAAUAUUCAAGUCAGUAGUAAAAUAAGCCUUAGACUGCCAAAGAAGACCUUUUUCACAUUUUUCAUGUGUUGGUUUGUAAUAUGGGCAAAAUGAAGAGGGAACCUAGAAUGGAGGCUAUCAAUAAACAAGUGUUUAGUACCAGUAAAACUUACCAGUAUUAUGUUUACAACCUAUUAACUAUUGAUGGUUUUUGACAAUAAAAUCCAUUAAUGUUAA